RNAcentral lists this ribosomal RNA (432 nucleotides) under uncultured Bifidobacteriaceae bacterium. Its description in RNAcentral is "bacterial SSU rRNA". It matches the Rfam family "Bacterial small subunit ribosomal RNA", at positions 354 to 796 of the family's 1533-position model. The record is from RNAcentral. Lineage: Bacteria; Bacillati; Actinomycetota; Actinomycetes; Bifidobacteriales; Bifidobacteriaceae.
GUGGGGAAUAUUGCACAAUGGGCGCAAGCCUGAUGCAGCGACGCCGCGUGAGGGAUGGAGGCCUUCGGGUUGUAAACCUCUUUUGUUUGGGAGCAAGCCUUCGGGUGAGUGUACCUUUCGAAUAAGCGCCGGCUAACUACGUGCCAGCAGCCGCGGUAAUACGUAGGGCGCAAGCGUUAUCCGGAUUUAUUGGGCGUAAAGGGCUCGUAGGCGGCUCGUCGCGUCCGGUGUGAAAGUCCAUCGCUUAACGGUGGAUCUGCGCCGGGUACGGGCGGGCUGGAGUGCGGUAGGGGAGACUGGAAUUCCCGGUGUAACGGUGGAAUGUGUAGAUAUCGGGAAGAACACCGAUGGCGAAGGCAGGUCUCUGGGCCGUCACUGACGCUGAGGAGCGAAAGCGUGGGGAGCGAACAGGAUUAGAAACCCCAGUAGUCC